RNAcentral lists this long non-coding RNA (1556 nucleotides) under Cricetulus griseus (Chinese hamster). Its description in RNAcentral is "lncRNA (ENSCGRG00000024679.1)". Lineage: Eukaryota; Metazoa; Chordata; Mammalia; Rodentia; Cricetidae. The record is from RNAcentral.
CACCUCACUUCCCUUCUCUGCCCCCUCACCCCCUAAUUAAUAAUGUCCUCUCUGGGGACCAAGUGAAGCAGAGCCACAUGUCUCUCUGAUUCAAUAAGUACAGACAUGUCCAGGCUAUGAAGACCUCUAGAUGUGUCUGUCUCAUGACUGCAGCUGGGGGAUGAGAAAACUUCAGAUGUGCUUGGUUGUAGCCUGAUGCUACAAGUGUUGGCACCAAAGGCAGGGCUUGGCCCUGUACCCACGUGGGUCAUGCAAGAUUAAGGAAGUGCCAGGAGAGGGAGGCUAACUAGAUGACCUCAAAGUACCCUUGUGGCCUGGCUGCAAGGCAGGAGAGUCCAGGGAGUGAUGCUGGCCAAGGAAAGCAGGUAUUGAAAUUUGAAAUGCAUGUGGAGUUUCCAAGUUGUGUGCUGAAGCCGUUAAAUACUUUGUGCUUUGGUGUGUUAUCAGUAAAAUGUUCCCAUUUCUAUUCUGGUUUUAGAAGGUCUCCGAAUUAGGGUCAAAAUGCUUUGGCAGUGGAUGGGGGGUGCUAAGGAUGUGACGCCGCUGGUAGAGUGCCUCCAGACAUAUACAAAGACUGGUGACUCAUCGCUAGUACUACAAAAACUAGGCCUGCUGGUGCACACCUAGCACUUAGAAUGUGGAGGUCAUUCAUGGUUACAUAAGUGAGUUCAAGGACAGCCUGGGAUAAAUGAGACCCUGUCUCAGUACAAAACAUAUAUAAGAAUGUGUGGGAAAACCAUCACAAGCCACUCACAAGGACCCAGAGAACCUAAUGUGGUUAACAGGCAGUGCCUUCUUUGCCACAGCCUGUUAGCCCCACCACAGUCAGAGGUCUCUGCUGUAGGAACCAGGGGCUUCCCUUUUGGCCUAGAAGCAGAACCAGAACCCCUUGACCCCUAAAAAAAAGGUUAGACUGACUGCUAGAGCAGGAGACCUCUGAGCAUGCUCAAGGAACAGGGCCUGGAGCCUCACCCAGCUUGUUGCCAGCUAGAACCUGCUUUCUGAGAUGUGGCCAUGUAAGUGUUGUGUAAACAGUUUAAGAGGAAAAGCAGCCAGCAACCUCACAGCUCAGUCCUUGUCCCUUCCCCUUUCAGCCCCAAGAAAUGACAAAUAGACCUCUAGGACUGUAUUCAUACUGUUAAUUGGAUUGGUUCCACCUGUAUUUCUCAAUAAUUUACCCUUGUUUUUUUGAGCCAAGACUCAGAAUAUAGCUCUCCAUUUGGUAGGAGAAGGUUAAAACAAUCUGUACAGGGUUCAGAGAAUGAUAGGUUCUUAUCAGAAAUCUCUCCCAUCCCCACCCCCAUGCCACACAGCCCAGCUGGCCUCAGAUUCAUGGCAAAGCCCAGGUUGCCUUUGAACUCCUGAUCCUCUCUUCUCCAUCUCCCAACUGCUGGGAUUAUGGAUAUGCACUACCAUGCCUGCUCAAGAGCACCGGCCUCUCAACACUCACCCCCACCCUGACAGUGUCCCCUCUUCAGCAAGCUGCACACUGCACUCAUCUUUGUUAAGCCAUGUCACCCAAAAUAUCAGAAGGAAAGACUGUCAGAGCAUUCAUG